RNAcentral lists this ribosomal RNA (468 nucleotides) under uncultured bacterium. RNAcentral's name for it is "partial 16S ribosomal RNA". It matches the Rfam family "Bacterial small subunit ribosomal RNA", at positions 28 to 507 of the family's 1533-position model. The record is from RNAcentral.
GACGAACGCUGGCGGCGUGCUUAACACAUGCAAGUCGAACGGAAAGGCCCUGCUUUUGUGGGGUGCUCGAGUGGCGAACGGGUGAGUAACACGUGAGUAACCUGCCCUUGACUUUGGGAUAACUUCAGGAAACUGGGGCUAAUACCGGAUAGGAGCUCCUGCUGCACGGUGGGGGUUGGAAAGUUUCGGCGGUUGGGGAUGGACUCGCGGCUUAUCAGCUUGUCGGUGGGGUAGUGGCUUACCACGGCUUUGACGGGUAGCCGGCCUGAGAGGGUGACCGGCCACAUUGGGGCUGAGGUACGGCCCAGACUCCUACGGGAGGCAGCGGUGGGGAAUAUUGCACAAUGGGCGGAAGCCUGAUGCAGCAACGCCGCGUGCGGGAUGACGGCCUUCGGGUUGUAAACCGCUUUCGCCUGUGACGAAGCGUGAGUGACGGUAAUGGGUAAAGAAGCACCGGCUAACUACGUG